ACCUGCCUCCCAAUUUUCGGUGAGUGGUGUAGCCCUGGGCGGCGUACAAAGUGUGCGACGGCGGCGCUUACCCCUGUUGCGCGCCUCCUUACCUCCAGUUUCCCGGUUAGCGCGCGCGGGGACCGCCACCCCACCCCUCCCUUCCCCGGCGGCGCGUGCCCGUGGAGCUAGGUGUCGGCAAGACUAAUUAAUCGCGACGCCUGGAAAGGGUUUCGCUCUUGCGGUGAGAGGCGCUGUGCGAGCGCAAAGCCAGCCCUACCGCCAAGGAGCAGGAGGCGGGCGGCGCGCCGGCGACGAGCGCGCGAGAGCCUGAGCGGCGGUGGCCGGAGGCCGCAGAGUUGGUGCGCGGCGGCGGCGUCCUCCCAGGCCGGAGGGGUGGAGGGCCGAGGGGUGUCCUGGAGGCCCGCGGCCCGGCCCGGGCACUGCGGGGGAGCCCCUGCAACAGACGGAGAAGUAGUUUAUUGACCACGAAUUUGUUGGAAAACUCUCAAGUGUCCCCACCCCAGGACGUGGUAGGAGCGCACUGGGGUUCAGGGCAGCGACGCUAAAGUUCCUCAGAGCCGUUGCUCACUUUUCCUGGGACCCUGGAUGAGUCACUUGCUGCCACACGGGUGUCUGCUUGGGUACAGUUCAUUCUUUCAUUCAUUCAUUCAUCCAUUCAACAGGUGGUCGGGCCAUGUGGCCCACCUGGUGCCCAGGUGAUAAGGCUAAUAAGACUUGGCGACUGCCUUGGAUGCGUGGCCGGCCUACCUGCCAGGAAACCCAGACGGGCAAAGUGGUCAUGAAACUCUCUCCCUUACUUUUGGCCUUAUCUGACUUUCUCAACAGUCAGGAAAGCGUGGGGUGGCUAGGGAAAAAGGAAGGAAGGAAGGAAGCCCACCUGUAAACGGAAACACGCUUACCAUACCUAGGGGUACCGGGAGGGGUGGGGGCUGUGGAUCCUUCCAGAGGCCUUGAGUACACUGUCUAUAACAUUCUAAGUUUUCUUUGAAAGCAGAAGGACACUGUUAACCAUUCAACUGAACUACUGAAAUCCCCCUUUGCCGAAAAGUAAGAAGAGGUGGAGAGAAGGAGAGGUUACCUAUUAUUUCUCUUGGCCCCGUCAGGUAACACCUCUAUCCCUGCUCUACAAGGCCCCCCCCCCCCCCUUUUUUUAUGGCUCUGAAAGACAACGGAGGGCAACGCAAAGUCGCUAAAGACCCUGGGCACGAAGAACAGGAAGCAAAAGCCGCUCCGGAGCCUCAUAACCUGCAGCUGCUAGGCCUCCGAGGGCCUCCGACCUUCUCCAACCUCCGCGAACUGCUGAGCGCGCCUUCUCACUGCACACGCACGCAGAGGGAGCCACGUCUCCCAUGACACUUCCGGCUGCGGCCUGGCCUCCCUUCCACCCCAAAACGCACCUUCUUUUGAAAAGAGCUCCAAAGAGAUAUGUUGGAGGUUAAUACUUUUCCCCUAAACCCAAGUGGAUGAAGAUGGUAAAGGGACAGACCCAAAUGCGCCUAGAGGCCGCUUGGACAGGAAGGCCUCACGGGCAAGGAUUCCGCGGCUUUUUGAAGGGGUCACGGCUCACUCACAAUCAUUCACCGACUAGCCCCGAAACGACUGGUUAUCUUCCCCUAGUCAAUAAAAACUUCUUGAUUGAAUUCGACGAACUGAUCGUCAUUUUGGAAAACUGGCAAAGACGGAGAAGGAGGAGGAACAGGCCAGAAGUUUCUGUUACGCUCCAUUUGUUCAAAAGCAUCUUCCUUCCUGCUUCUGAUGUGGCAAAACACAAAUACACUGUAUUUAAGAGGAACAGCUAAAGGGUAACCAAUACAGACGGCCUCCAUACUUAUGCCAGUAGCUACACAUCACUGGGGUGACUCUACUGCUGAGUCUCCUUAUUUGGAAAUCCUGGAGCUGGGUUACCGUCUCCCCCCUUCUCGAUAAACAUCACACCUGAACUCUGAAAGGGGUGAAGCUGUCCCAUGUCACACACAGACACAUAUUCCACGCAAAGGCACAAUGGGGGCUAUUGUCCCGGAAACGUAUCCAACAAGGUCAGGGCUUCGCUCAUUUCGACUUCUAACCCAGCAGGCCACCCUCCAGGGGUUUUUGUUUUGUUUCGGCAUAGGCUUCACCUAUAUGGCGUUGUGGCCGCUGGCGGACACACAAGGCAUUUACUUUGUAAAUAAAUGACAGCAGGUGGAAUCAAGGGUUUACAGGAGGCACACAACUCAGCAGCUUUCACGACUUGUACCGCGUGGAUUAAUUGCAGAUGGCCCGUUCAUUUAUUAAGACCCAGGUGACAGAAGGGCCCAGCGAUCGGGAGGACAAACUGCUUUGGGGGUCCAUUUACAUAAAAUGAGAAGAUCGGAUUAUUGAUGAACCCCCCCCCACCCCCGCCACACUUCCUUAAUUGUAAAUUAUGACUUGCCAACGAUGGCAGGCUAAUGGAAGCGACCGCGGAAAGAAAGGAAGUUGGCCACCUGGAGAAAGCAAUACCUGCACUAUGCAGGUAAAGGCAUCGAUGAAAUGAAAGUCUAACUUCUCCCCCCUCCCCACCCCGGGGGAAGGCGGUGGCUGCAGCACAGCGAGAGGAUGCGGGUUCCACUGCCCCUGUUCUCCCCUAUGUGGGAAGCGUCUUGUACAAGCCAGCAUUGGGAAGGACGAGCUAUCCCUGCAAAGCCAAGGGAGCUAUGGGUUAGACCGCCCCCCCCCACCCCUGCCGCUCUGAAAUCCCCUAAGGGUUAAUAGGUGAACAGUAGCAGCUUGGAAUGAUUUAUUUUUCUAAGGAACAUUAAAUACUGAAUUGCUCAGGCUGAAAUAAUGCCACAGCUGUGCCCCGCAGGGCUGGAUUUUGGACACCGGCUCGAGUGACAGGUGUACUUAAUGAAUGCCCAGCUUGGCUGAAGUGGUGCCCCACUCAGAUUUUCCCCACCGAUUAAUUGGUAGGGGACUCUGGAGCCAGCCAGGAAAGUGCCUUUCGCCACAGACACAGAAGACCAUGUGUGCUCAGCCAUCAACAAAAACGCCAGCCUCGGGGUGGCGGGCGGGGGGCGGGGGGGGGGGUGGCGCACGGAAAAUGGAGGCAUUGCUCCCUGAACAUAAAACAAGAAAAUCCGGACCCUGGAAGGUGGGGGAAAGACAAGGUGGGAGCCGAGAGAACUGAUCAGGACCAAACCCUUCCAGGUUUUCAAGCAAACAAGUCUGUCCUAUAACCGCCUCUUGGAGGGUUUUAGCAACCGAAGCGAGCCCGGGAUUCUAGGAGACGUGUCACCAAAAUUGGUAUUAUUAGAGGAAGUGGCACCAAGCUAGAAACACAGAGUCUAAUCUGCAACAUACUAAUUAUACCUAUUUUUACCCCAGGGUUGCAGUGACCUAACGCCAAGAAAUGAAAUCUCUAGAAAACUAGCCCUUCACGUGUACGAGACGCAAACACCUUGGGGGUGGGGGCCGCGGGGCAUCGGCUCCACGGAGUCCGUGGGUCCCCUCUGGGGCGAGAAGUCAGCGGUCACCUGCGAAGGCAGUGGAUUUUCAUGGGAACUUGGCAGCAGUGGAGGAAGCCAAGUAAGGCUCUAGACCAAACCUUGGGCGUUCUGGGCUGAUGUCAGCAUGCUGGUUAGAGGGCCACUCUGGAAUGUCAGUCUGGCCUGGGCACAGUUGACUACUCCCACAGGGCGUCCCGGUCUACAGAGGGAAGGAAGGCGGCCAGGCUUUUUGUCGAGCCGACAUGGAUCCUGCACGAGGCUUUCCUUGGUCCGUCCCCCGUGUGCACGGGGCCCCUGUCUCUUGGCCAGAUGGGGCUGAUGGUAGGGGACCAGCUCCGGACGCCGCCACUUUGGAGACUGGUUCUAGUAACGCUGCUUCUAAGAUGGUGGAAGGUGUCGAGCGGCUGAAAGCAGUGUCGGGCUUUUUUGCUUCCUACCCUUCACAGGUGAUCUCUGCCUCGUGAGCACCGGGGUUCCCUUCAUAAUUGGCUCCCCAGAGCUGGAUGCCACGGAGCAGAGCCGUGAAAGAACCUUUCCAAGGAAGCUGAUAUAAAACUUAGGUGGGACCCAAAGACCUCUAAUCCGCAAGUUAAAUGGACACUUCGUUUACUCACAGCCACUAAAAGCAUCCCCAAGUCUAGGAAAACCUAACUGACCCCCAAUUCCUACUCUGAUGUUAUUAACCCAGUGCCUCAGGGGGGCGCCCCAGAGCAGGGUAACUGAAAAUCAUUCUCAGCCUUAAAAGAGAGUCUCUUAGAUGGUUUGCUAUUAAUUAGGUCAGCAAGCCCUCUAAACACAUCAUUUCAAUGAGCUGGCUGAAUGCAAAAUGGGGGAAAACCAAAUUGUUGACUGACUGACGUGAUCCCCGAGGACACUUAACGUUGGAAUCUUAGAUAUCAAAUACCUGUGUAUUCCCUUUACCUUACACGUUCUUAAAUGUGUUAAAUAAACGUGUUUUCCUCGACCUGG
Molecule: long non-coding RNA, 4439 nt
Organism: Leopardus geoffroyi (Geoffroy's cat)
Lineage: Eukaryota; Metazoa; Chordata; Mammalia; Carnivora; Felidae
Exons: 2
Source: RefSeq, a predicted model, not a curated record